Non-coding RNA from Podarcis lilfordi (Lilford's wall lizard), 72 nucleotides. Lineage: Eukaryota; Metazoa; Chordata; Lepidosauria; Squamata; Lacertidae. The record is from the annotation of a GenBank genome assembly.
AGGGAUGCAGCUCAGCAGUAGAGCAUUUGCCUUGCAUGCAAAAGGCCUCAGGAUCAAUCCUUGUCAUCUCCA